Molecule: non-coding RNA, 31 nt
Filed under: Rattus norvegicus (Norway rat)
Lineage: Eukaryota; Metazoa; Chordata; Mammalia; Rodentia; Muridae
Source: RNAcentral
UUGACAAUAGUAUUUUGGGAAGCUGAGGCCU